AAUUAUUCUAUUACUGUGUUAACAUUCACUUUAGGUAAAGUGUAAACAAGUUUUCUAAGAAUACAAUCUUGUUGAUUAGCAUGAAAUUUUGUUUUAAAAACUAACGAAAAAUCAGUGGAUUGUUCUAGUGGAUGUUUAGUUCAAAAAUUCCAUAUGAUUAAAACGGAAUUUUGUAGAAGAAAAUGAGGUGGGAAAAGCAUUGAUGAUAUCGAUUAAGUUCUCUAAUAUUACUGUGUUUAUAAAUAGAAUUAAAUAUAAUUACAAAAUGGUAUGAAAACAUUGAAAAAGCUGCAUUAGUUUUCUAGUAAUACUUUCAUGAUUAUUAGAAUGAAAUUUUGUUUAGAAAAUGACAUAAAUAGGUUGAAAAAUCAUUGAAUUCAUUGGAUGGAUACGGAUAUUCCAUCUCUACAUUGGCAAAAACGCAAUAAAAAUUUUCAAUUUCCAAAUUUCAUCCUUAAAAAAAUCUGGUGUAUAACUAUAGCGCAAUGAAAAAUUAAUCAUGAUUUUAUGGCAAAAAAACAACGAGAAACGAGACAAAAUAAUAACAUGAAAAUAUAGCGACCUGCCAAAAAGGUGCACUCGCUAUAAUUUAUGGCACAAACCCAAAAUUUCACGUUAUCUGAUAGGUCAGUUUCUUCAAACAAUACGAAAUAAUUAAGUCGUCAAAGCCUGAAGUCUUGAUACGAAAAAUGGAAAAGAAACCCAUCAAAAACAAUUUUUUCCCAACACAAUCAAAAGUUUCGUGUUCGUGUUCGUUCCAGAGGAAUUUACUAUCUAGGAAUAUUGAAGGAGUACACAAUUUCUCACGACAAUUAAAUGAAGUAUGAUCAAUUGGCCUUCGUCUGUGUUAUAAACAAAAUAAAGCUCAUCGGCCGGCAAGUCUAGGAAGACGAGGAGAACCAUCACAAGCACACAUACCCAUACACAUACAAAUUCAAUUUUGUAGAUAGCGAAGAAGAAA
This is a long non-coding RNA of Diorhabda carinulata, 961 nucleotides long. RefSeq lists it as uncharacterized. The transcript is spliced from 2 exons. The record is from RefSeq and is a predicted model, not a curated record. Lineage: Eukaryota; Metazoa; Arthropoda; Insecta; Coleoptera; Chrysomelidae.